GAUGAACGCUGGCGGCGUGCCUAAUACAUGCAAGUCGAGCGAACAGAUGAGGAGCUUGCUCCUCUGACGUUAGCGGCGGACGGGUGAGUAACACGUGGAUAACCUACCUAUAAGACUGGGAUAACUUCGGGAAACCGGAGCUAAUACCGGAUAAUAUAUUGAACCGCAUGGUUCAAUAGUGAAAGACGGUUUUGCUGUCACUUAUAGAUGGAUCCGCGCCGCAUUAGCUAGUUGGUAAGGUAACGGCUUACCAAGGCAACGAUGCGUAGCCGACCUGAGAGGGUGAUCGGCCACACUGGAACUGAGACACGGUCCAGACUCCUACGGGAGGCAGCAGUAGGGAAUCUUCCGCAAAGGGCGAAAGCCUGACGGAGCAACGCCGCGUGAGUGAUGAAGGUCUUCGGAACGUAAAACUCUGUUAUUAGGGAAGAACAAAUGUGUAAGUAACUAUGCACGUCUUGACGGUACCUAAUCAGAAAGCCACGGCUAACUACGUG
This 497-nucleotide ribosomal RNA is filed under the name uncultured bacterium. RNAcentral's name for it is "partial 16S ribosomal RNA". It matches the Rfam family "Bacterial small subunit ribosomal RNA", at positions 28 to 507 of the family's 1533-position model. The record is from RNAcentral.